This 464-nucleotide ribosomal RNA is filed under the name uncultured bacterium. RNAcentral describes it as "partial 16S ribosomal RNA". It matches the Rfam family "Bacterial small subunit ribosomal RNA", at positions 338 to 795 of the family's 1533-position model. The record is from RNAcentral.
CCUACGGGGUGCAGCAGUGGGGAAUCUUCCGCAAUGGGCGAAAGCCUGACGGAGCAACGCCGCGUGAUCGAAUGAAGGCCUUCGGGUUGUAAAGAUCUGUUGCCAGGGACGAAUAAGCAAUGCGAAUAGUUUUGUGUAUGACGGUACCUGUUUAGAAAGCUCCGGCUAACUACUUGCCAGCAGCCGCGGUAAUACGUAGGGAGCAAACGUUUUCCGGCAUUACUGGGCGUAACGGGCGCGUAGGUGGGCGCGUAAGUCAGGGGUGAAAACCCCGGGGUCAACCUGGAGACUGCACUGGAAACUGGGUGUCUUGAGGGCAUGAGAGGAAAGUGGAAUUCCUAGUGUAGCAGUGAAAUGCGUAGAUAUUAGGAGGAACACCAGUGGCGAAGGCGACUUUCUGGACUGUACCUGACGCUGAGGCGCGAAAGCGUGGGUAGCGAACGGGAUUAGAUACCCCAGUAGUC